This 380-nucleotide ribosomal RNA is filed under the name uncultured bacterium. RNAcentral's name for it is "bacterial SSU rRNA". It matches the Rfam family "Bacterial small subunit ribosomal RNA", at positions 30 to 407 of the family's 1533-position model. The record is from RNAcentral.
AUUGAACGCUGGCGGCAUGCUUUACACAUGCAAGUCGAACGGCAGCACGGGUGCUUGCACCUGGUGGCGAGUGGCGAACGGGUGAGUAAUGCAUCGGAACGUGCCCAUGAGUGGGGGAUANCCCGGCGAAAGCCGGAUUAAUACCGCAUACGCCCUUAGGGGGAAAGCGGGGGGAUCUUCGGACCUCGCGCUAUUGGAGCGGCCGAUGUCGGAUUAGCUAGUAGGUGAGGUAAAGGCUCACCUAGGCGACGAUCCGUAGCUGGUCUGAGAGGAUGAUCAGCCACACUGGGACUGAGACACGGCCCAGACUCCUACGGGAGGCAGCAGUGGGGAAUUUUGGACAAUGGGCGCAAGCCUGAUCCAGCCAUGCCGCGUGAGUG